GCGCCUGUAGCUCAGAGGAUAGAGCGCCGGCCUCCGGAGCCGGGUCUUGCGCAGGUUCGAUUCCUGCCAGGCGCACCA
This 78-nucleotide transfer RNA is filed under the name Thermoanaerobacter sp. RNAcentral's name for it is "tRNA-Arg". It matches the Rfam family "tRNA". From Rfam's summary of the family: Transfer RNA (tRNA) molecules are approximately 80 nucleotides in length. Their secondary structure includes four short double-helical elements and three loops (D, anti-codon, and T loops). Further hydrogen bonds mediate the characteristic L-shaped molecular structure. tRNAs have two regions of fundamental functional importance: the anti-codon, which is responsible for specific mRNA codon recognition, and the 3' end, to which the tRNAs corresponding amino acid is attached (by aminoacyl-tRNA synthetases). tRNAs cope with the degeneracy of the genetic code in two manners: having more than one tRNA (with a specific anti-codon) for a particular amino acid; and 'wobble' base-pairing, i.e. permitting non-standard base-pairing at the 3rd anti-codon position. The record is from RNAcentral. RNAcentral also lists the same sequence under 2 other names. Lineage: Bacteria; Bacillati; Bacillota; Clostridia; Thermoanaerobacterales; Thermoanaerobacteraceae.